RNAcentral lists this ribosomal RNA (1564 nucleotides) under uncultured bacterium. RNAcentral's name for it is "partial 16S ribosomal RNA". It matches the Rfam family "Bacterial small subunit ribosomal RNA". The record is from RNAcentral.
AGAGUUUGAUCAUGGCUCAGGACGAACGCUGGCGGCGUGCCUAAUACAUGCAAGUCGAGCGAGCUUGCCUAGAUGAUUUUAGUGCUUGCACUAAAUGAAACUAGAUACAAGCGAGCGGCGGACGGGUGAGUAACACGUGGGUAACCUGCCCAAGAGACUGGGAUAACACCUGGAAACAGAUGCUAAUACCGGAUAACAACACUAGACGCAUGUCUAGAGUUUGAAAGAUGGUUCUGCUAUCACUCUUGGAUGGACCUGCGGUGCAUUAGCUAGUUGGUAAGGUAACGGCUUACCAAGGCAAUGAUGCAUAGCCGAGUUGAGAGACUGAUCGGCCACAUUGGGACUGAGACACGGCCCAAACUCCUACGGGAGGCAGCAGUAGGGAAUCUUCCACAAUGGACGAAAGUCUGAUGGAGCAACGCCGCGUGAGUGAAGAAGGGUUUCGGCUCGUAAAGCUCUGUUGGUAGUGAAGAAAGAUAGAGGUAGUAACUGGCCUUUAUUUGACGGUAAUUACUUAGAAAGUCACGGCUAACUACGUGCCAGCAGCCGCGGUAAUACGUAGGUGGCAAGCGUUGUCCGGAUUUAUUGGGCGUAARSSAGUGCAGGCGGUUCAAUAAGUCUGAUGUGAAAGCCUUCGGCUCAACCGGAGAAUUGCAUCAGAAACUGUUGAACUUGAGUGCAGAAGAGGAGAGUGGAACUCCAUGUGUAGCGGUGGAAUGCGUAGAUAUAUGGAAGAACACCAGUGGCGAAGGCGGCUCUCUGGUCUGCAACUGACGCUGAGGCUCGAAAGCAUGGGUAGCGAACAGGAUUAGAUACCCUGGUAGUCCAUGCCGUAAACGAUGAGUGCUAAGUGUUGGGAGGUUUCCGCCUCUCAGUGCUGCAGCUAACGCAUUAAGCACUCCGCCUGGGGAGUACGACCGCAAGGUUGAAACUCAAAGGAAUUGACGGGGGCCCGCACAAGCGGUGGAGCAUGUGGUUUAAUUCGAAGCAACGCGAAGAACCUUACCAGGUCUUGACAUCCAGUGCAAACCUAAGAGAUUAGGUGUUCCCUUCGGGGACGCUGAGACAGGUGGUGCAUGGCUGUCGUCAACUCGUGUCGUGAGAUGUUGGGUUAAGUCCCGCAACGAGCGCAACCCUUGUCAUUAGUUGCCAUCAUUAAGUUGGGCACUCUAAUGAGACUGCCGGUGACAAACCGGAGGAAGGUGGGGAUGACGUCAAGUCAUCAUGCCCCUUAUGACCUGGGCUACACACGUGCUACAAUGGACGGUACAACGAGAAGCGAACCUGCGAAGGCAAGCGGAUCUCUUAAAGCCGUUCUCAGUUCGGACUGUAGGCUGCAACUCGCCUACACGAAGCUGGAAUCGCUAGUAAUCGCGGAUCAGCACGCCGCGGUGAAUACGUUCCCGGGCCUUGUACACACCGCCCGUCACACCAUGAGAGUCUGUAACACCCAAAGCCGGUGGGAUAACCUUUAUAGGAGUCAGCCGUCUAAGGUAGGACAGAUGAUUAGGGUGAAGUCGUAACAAGGUAGCCGUAGGAGAACCUGCGGCUGGAUCACCUCCUU